UACGUAGGGGGCAAGCGUUGUCCGGAAUCAUUGGGCGUAAAGCGCGUGUAGGCGGCUCGGUAAGUCUGCUGUGAAAGUCCAGGGCUCAACCCUGGGAUGCCGGUGGAUACUGUCGAGCUCGAGUCCGGAAGAGGCGAGUGGAAUUCCUGGUGUAGCGGUGAAAUGCGCAGAUAUCGGGAGGAACACCUAUGGCGAAGGCAGCUCGCUGGGACGUUACUGACGCUGAGACGCGAAAGCGUGGGGAGCAAACAGG
RNAcentral lists this ribosomal RNA (253 nucleotides) under uncultured bacterium. RNAcentral describes it as "partial 16S ribosomal RNA". It matches the Rfam family "Bacterial small subunit ribosomal RNA", at positions 524 to 776 of the family's 1533-position model. The record is from RNAcentral.